RNAcentral lists this transfer RNA (72 nucleotides) under Herbidospora galbida. It matches the Rfam family "tRNA". From Rfam's summary of the family: Transfer RNA (tRNA) molecules are approximately 80 nucleotides in length. Their secondary structure includes four short double-helical elements and three loops (D, anti-codon, and T loops). The record is from Rfam by way of RNAcentral. Lineage: Bacteria; Bacillati; Actinomycetota; Actinomycetes; Streptosporangiales; Streptosporangiaceae.
UCCGAUGUGCCCAAUGGUAGAGGCGCCUGGCAUGGGGUCAGGAAAAUCGGGGUUCGAAUCCCCGCGUCGGUA